This 233-nucleotide ribosomal RNA is filed under the name uncultured Sphingobacteriales bacterium. Its description in RNAcentral is "partial 16S ribosomal RNA". It matches the Rfam family "Bacterial small subunit ribosomal RNA", at positions 1152 to 1382 of the family's 1533-position model. The record is from RNAcentral. Lineage: Bacteria; Pseudomonadati; Bacteroidota; Sphingobacteriia; Sphingobacteriales.
CCACCGUAAGGUGAGAGGAAGUGGGGAGUGACGUCAAAUCAGCAGGCCCUUAUGUCCAGGGCUACACACGUGUUACAAUGGCCGGCACAGAGGGCAGCUACCUGGUGACAGGAUGCUAAUCUCGAAAACCGGUCUCAGUUCGGAUCGAAGUCUGCAACUCGACUUCGUGAAGCUGGAUUCGCUAGUAAUCGCGCAUCAGCCAUGGCCGCGGUUCCGAAUACGUUCCGGGCCUU